Long non-coding RNA from Felis catus (domestic cat), 816 nucleotides. RefSeq lists it as uncharacterized. The transcript is spliced from 4 exons. Lineage: Eukaryota; Metazoa; Chordata; Mammalia; Carnivora; Felidae. The record is from RefSeq and is a predicted model, not a curated record.
CCGCUCUGCCCCAUGUCCCAGUGCUUGUUUGGAGUGGGGGCCGAGGCCCACAGAGGGAAGCCUGGAUGACCCUGAACCUUCCCGGCACCCAGAGCCCGACAGCUGAGCAUUUGCCGCUAUCUGUACUCUGUGGCAACGUCCCCCUCUCCUGACUGCCUGUGACUUAAAUCUGGGCUCUAUGGCCCAGAAGGACAGAUGGGGCGAGGCAGUGGCUUUUGGACAGUCAAAAGAACUCCUCUUCAGUUAUGCAGACUUGGUUCAAAGGUACCAUGGGGAAAGGUCCCAGAAACAGUGGGAAGACCAGGUAUUCAAGCUGUCCUUUCUCAGAUCCUAGAUCUUACAGGCGUAGGACGGCCUGACAGUGGUGGUGGUAUUAAGGACACAGAAGCUACCAGGGUGGCCUGGAAGUGGAGACUGCGCAAGCGGGUUUUGUAUUCCGGAACCGACAGCAUCUGUCCCGAAGUCAACGCCAGGAUUGCACCCAUCCCACCAGGGGCCCCACCGCCCCACCGCCCCACCGCAGCCUGGUGUGGGGGGUCAGCGGGCUGCCCGGCAUUCCCCUCAAGAAAAAUAAGCACAAUCCCAAAAUGAGCACACAAAAAUAAGCACAAUCCCAUCUACCUUGAACCCCGGGUGGGAACUGGCCAUUAAAGGUGUAAAACUGGGACUCAGAGGCGCGAGCGCAGUGGCGGUAGGGGAGCGGGGCCCACGCAGCCCCGGUCACAGCGAGAGCCCCGAUGGAGGCGGCCGAGGCCGCCGGGCAGCACCCCCCGACCCCGGGCGGCGGUCACGGCCGCAGCACCUGCAGGACGAACU